UAGCUCACUAGUCGAGUCGGCCUGCGCGGAAGAUGUAACGGGGCUAAAACUAUGUGCCGAAGCUGCGGAUGUAUACUUUGUAUACGUGGUAGGGGAGCGUUCUGUAAGCCGAUGAAGGUGUGUUGAGAAGCAUGCUGGAGGUAUCAGAAGUGCGAAUGCUGACGUGAGUAACGACAAAACGGGUGAAAAACCCGUUCGCCGAAAGACCAAGGGUUCCAGUCCAACGUUAAUCGGGGCUGGGUGAGUCGACCCCUAAGGCGAGGCCGAAAGGCGUAGUCGAUGGGAAAAUGGUUAAUAUUCCAUUACUUCUGUGUAAUGCGAUGAGAGGACGGAGAAGGCUAAAUCAGCCUGGCGUUGGUUGUCCAGGUGAAAGGAUGUAGGCAUGUAUCUUAGGCAAAUCCGGGGUACUCUAUGCUGAGAUCUGAUAGCAAGCUGUACUUGUACAGCGAAGUGGUUGAUGCCAUGCUUCCAGGAAAAGUCUCUAAGCUUCAGUUACACAGGAAUCGUACCCGAAACCGACACAGGUGGUCAGGUCGAGUAGACCAAGGCGCUUGAGAGAACUCUGCUGAAGGAACUAGGCAAAAUGGUACCGUAACUUCGGGAGAAGGUACGCUGUUGUUGGUGAUGGAACUCGCUUCCUGAGCUGACGACAGCCGCAGAAACCAGGCCGCUGCAACUGUUUAUUAAAAACAUAGCACUCUGCAAACACGAAAGUGGACGUAUAGGGUGUGAUGCCUGCCCGGUGCUGGAAGGUUAAUUGAUGGGGUUAGCGUAAGCGAAGCUCUUGAUCGAAGCCCCAGUAAACGGCGGCCGUAACUAUAACGGUCCUAAGGUAGCGAAAUUCCUUGUCGGGUAAGUUCCGACCUGCACGAAUGGCAUAAUGAUGGCGGCGCUGUCUCCAGCAGAGGCUCAGUGAAAUCGAAAUCGCUGUGAAGAUGCAGUGUACCCGCGGCUAGACGGAAAGACCCCGUGAACCUUUACUGCAGCUUGACACUGAACUUUGACCUUACUUGUGUAGGAUAGGUGGGAGGCUUUGAAGCUGGAACGCUAGUUCCAGUGGAGCCGUCCUUGAAAUACCACCCUGGUAAUGUUGAGGUUCUAACUCUGUCCCGUGAUCCGGGACGAGGACCGUGUCUGGUGGGUAGUUUGACUGGGGCGGUCUCCUCCUAAAGAGUAACGGAGGAGUACGAAGGUGCGCUCAGCGUGGUCGGAAAUCACGCGUAGAGUAUAAAGGCAAAAGCGCGCUUAACUGCGAGACCCACAAGUCGAGCAGGUACGAAAGUAGGUCUUAGUGAUCCGGUGGUUCUGUAUGGAAGGGCCAUCGCUCAACGGAUAAAAGGUACUCUGGGGAUAACAGGCUGAUACCGCCCAAGAGUUCAUAUCGACGGCGGUGUUUGGCACCUCGAUGUCGGCUCAUCUCAUCCUGGGGCUGAAGCAGGUCCCAAGGGUAUGGCUGUUCGCCAUUUAAAGAGGUACGCGAGCUGGGUUUAGAACGUCGUGAGACAGUUCGGUCCCUAUCUACCGUGGGCGCUGGAAAUUUGAGAGGAUCUGCUCCUAGUACGAGAGGACCAGAGUGGACGAACCUCUGGUGUACCGGUUGUGACGCCAGUCGCAUCGCCGGGUAGCUAUGUUCGGAAGGGAUAACCGCUGAAAGCAUCUAAGCGGGAAGCCUACCUCAAGAUAAGAUUUCCCUAGGACUUUAUGUCCUCUAAAGAGCCGUUCGAGACUAGGACGUUGAUAGGUUGGAUGUGGAAGCAUAGUGAUAUGUGAAGCUGACCAAUACUAAUUGCUCGUGAGGCUUGACUAUACAACACCCAAGCAGUUG
RNAcentral lists this ribosomal RNA (1825 nucleotides) under Acinetobacter baumannii. RNAcentral's name for it is "partial 23S ribosomal RNA". It matches the Rfam family "Bacterial large subunit ribosomal RNA", at positions 1138 to 2925 of the family's 2925-position model. The record is from RNAcentral. Lineage: Bacteria; Pseudomonadati; Pseudomonadota; Gammaproteobacteria; Moraxellales; Moraxellaceae.